Molecule: ribosomal RNA, 2835 nt
Filed under: Oscillospiraceae bacterium
Lineage: Bacteria; Bacillati; Bacillota; Clostridia; Eubacteriales; Oscillospiraceae
Description: 23S ribosomal RNA
Rfam family: Bacterial large subunit ribosomal RNA
Source: RNAcentral
GGUCAAGCGAACAAGGGCGCAGGGCGAAUGCCUUGGCACUGGGAGCCGAUGAAAGACGUGAUAAGCUGCGAUAAGCUUCGGGGAGCUGCAAAUAAGCAUUGAUCCGGAGAUUUCUGAAUGAGGAAACUCACCUGGGUUCAUACUCAGGUACGUUAUACUGAACUUAAAAAUAGGUAUAUCGAGGGAACCGCCUGAACUGAAACAUCUAAGUAGGGCGAGGAAGAGACAUCAAACGAGAUUCCGUAAGUAGUGGCGAGCGAACGCGGAAGAGGGCAAACCGGGAGUAGAAAUACUCCCGGGGUACGGACUGCUUUUAGGACUUAAUCUGUUAACCGAACGGCAUGGGAAGGCCGGUCAGAGAGUGUGAGAACCACGUAGGUGAAAACGGAGAGAGCUGCGCAGGAUCCAGAGUACGGCCAGACACGUGAAACCUGGUCGGAAUACGGGGGGACCACCCUCCAACCCUAAAUACUACCCAGUGACCGAUAGCGUAUAGUACUGUGAAGGAAAGGUGAAAAGCACCCCGGGAGGGGAGUGAAAAAGAACCUGAAACCCUGUGCCUACAAGCACCUAGAGCACGUCAAUGUGUGAUAGGGUACUUUUUGUAGAACGGUCCGGCGAGCGAUUGUAUGCAGCAAGGUUAAGGACUUAAGGUCUGGAGCCGAAGCGAAAGCGAGUUUGAAAAGGGCGUUAAGUUGCAUACAAUGGGCCCGAAACCGGGUGACCUACCCAUGGUCAGGUUGAAGUGGAAGUAAAAUUCCAUGGAGGACCGAACCGACCUCCGUUGAAAAGGCGGCGGAUGAACUGUGGGUAGCGGAGAAAUUCCAAUCGAACCCGGAGAUAGCUGGUUCUCCCCGAAAUAGUUUUAGGACUAGCCUCAAGUUAGAUACCUGGAGGUAAAGCACUGAAUAGCCUAGCGGCCGAGAGGUUAGCGAAGCUUAUCAAACUCAGAAUGCCAGAGUAUUGAUGCUUGGGAGUCAGACAGUGUCAGAUAAAUGUCAUUGUCAAAAGGGAAACAGCCCAGAUCUACAGCUAAGGUCCCAAAGUCAGGUUAAGUGGAAAACGAUGUGAAGAUACGUAGACAACCAGGAUGUUGGCUCAGAAGCAGCCACACAUUCAAAGAGUGCGUAAUAGCUCACUGGUCGAGCGUCUUUGCGCGGAGAAUUUAACGGGGCUAAACCUGACACCGAAGCUUAGGCAAUACAGCAAUGUAUUGGGUAGGGGAGCGUUGUAUACGCGGUGAAACAGUAGCGCAAGCGGCUGUGGAGUGUAUAGAAGUGAGAAUGCCGGAAUGAGUAGCGCGAAUGCAGUGAGAAUCUGCAUGGCCGAAAGCCUCAGGUUUCUGGAGGAAGGUUCGUCCGCUCCAGGUUAGUCGGGAGCUAAGGUGAGGCCUAACGGCGUAGCCGAUGCACAGACGGUAGAGAUUCCGUCACCACCAAAAGAGUUAAACACAGGGACACAUUUGAAGUCUCGGAGCCGGGUGUUGGUUCCGGUAGCGAUCGAGGGAAGUUAGUACCGAAGUCCGGGAUGGAAGAUGGCGAGAAAAGCUGUGUGUAUUUCUGCGGUGCCCGUACCGCAAACCGACACAGGUAGGUAGGAAGAAGAUUCUAAGGCCAACGGGAGAAGGGUUGUUAAGGAACUCGGCAAAUUGACCCCGUAACUUCGGGAGAAGGGGUGCUCUAGAGAUAGAGCCGCAGAGAAUCGGCCCAAGCAACUGUUUACCAAAAACACAGGUUUGUGCUAAAUCGAAAGAUGACGUAUACGAGCUGACGCCUGCCCGGUGCUGGAAGGUUAAGAGGAGAUGUGCAAGCAUUGAAUCGAAGCCCCAGUGAACGGCGGCCGUAACUAUAACGGUCCUAAGGUAGCGAAAUUCCUUGUCAGGUAAGUUCUGACCCGCAUGAAAGGCGUAAUGAUUUGGGCACUGUCUCGACAGCCCGCCCGGCGAAAUUGUAGUACCGGUGAAGAUGCCGGUUACCCGCGACAAGACGGAAAGACCCCAUGGAGCUUUACUGUAGCCUAAUAUUGGGUUUCGAUGUUGCAUGCACAGGAUAGAUGGGACACAGGGAAACAAGUGCUUUGGCAUUUGUGGAGUGGCCGUUGGGAUACCAUCCUUGCGAUAUUGGAAUUCUAACCUGCGCCUUUGAAUCAAGGCGGGGGACAUUGUUAGGUGGGCAGUUUGACUGGGGCGGUCGCCUCCUAAAGAGUAACGGAGGCGUUCAAAGGUUCGCUCAGCUUGAACGGAAAUCAAGCAAAAGAGUGCAAACGCAGAAGCGAGCCUAACUGCGAGACUGACGGGUCGAGCAGUAACGAAAGUUGGAGUUAGUGAUCCGGUGGUAUGUGAGUGGAAAUGCCAUCGCUCAACGGAUAAAAGUUACCCUGGGGAUAACAGGCUGAUCUCCCCCAAGAGUCCACAUCGACGGGGAGGUUUGGCACCUCGAUGUCGGCUCAUCGCAUCCUGGGGCUGUAUUCGGUCCCAAGGGUUUGGCUGUUCGCCAAUUAAAGCGGUACGCGAGCUGGGUUCAGAACGUCGUGAGACAGUUCGGUCCCUAUCUGUCGUGGGCGCAGGAUAUUUGAUGGGAGCUGUUCCUAGUACGAGAGGACCGGAGCGGACGUACCUCUGGCGCACCAGUUGUUCUGCCAAGGGCAUAGCUGGGCAACUAUGUACGGAUCGGAUAAACGCUGAAAGCAUCUAAGCGUGAAGCCGACCCAAAGAUAAGAUAUCCCAUUGUUUCAAACAAGUAAGACCCCUUGAAGACUACAAGGUUGAUAGGCACGAUGUGUAAGUGGAGCGAUCCAUUCAGCAAGCGUGUACUAAUAGGUCGAGGGCUUGACCAC